GAUGAACGCUGGCGGCGCGCCUAACACAUGCAAGUCGAACGGCACCCCUCCUCGGAGGGAAGCGAGUGGCGAACGGCUGAGUAACACGUGGAGAACCUGCCCCCUCCCCCGGGAUAGCCGCCCGAAAGGACGGGUAAUACCGGAUACCCCGGGGUGCCGCAUGGCACCCCGGCUAAAGCCCCGACGGGAGGGGAUGGCUCCGCGGCCCAUCAGGUAGACGGCGGGGUGACGGCCCACCGUGCCGACAACGGGUAGCCGGGGUGAGAGACCGACCGGCCAGAUUGGGACGGAGGCACGGGCCGGGCACCUUCCGGAAGGAGCAGUGGGGGAACUUGGGCAAGGGGGGGAAGCCUGAAGGAGCGGCGGCGCGGGCGGGACGGAGGCCGUCGGGGCGGAAACCGCUUUCAGGAGGGGAGAGUCAAGACGGUACCUGGAGAAGAAGCCCCGGCUAACUACGUG
Molecule: ribosomal RNA, 459 nt
Filed under: uncultured bacterium
Lineage: Bacteria
Description: partial 16S ribosomal RNA
Rfam family: Bacterial small subunit ribosomal RNA
Source: RNAcentral